This is a long non-coding RNA of Stegastes partitus (bicolor damselfish), 561 nucleotides long. RefSeq lists it as uncharacterized. The record is from RefSeq and is a predicted model, not a curated record. Lineage: Eukaryota; Metazoa; Chordata; Actinopteri; Pomacentridae. The transcript has 3 exons.
CCCCCCCCACCACAUCCCGAGCUUUCCUCUGUGUUAACCCUGACAGGAAGGAGGUGCCAGUGGCUUUGGAUGUGACAGUGCAGCACCUCGUCACUGGAGUCGAUGAACUGGCAGUAACCCCACAACCCUGUCUGUCCGCCGCAAGGUAUCUGACACCAGAAACACUUGGGAUAACGCCGCAUCUACACACUGAUGCUGCACUGAAGCAGUGGUUAAAUUUGGCUCCCUGCUGCGCUACAGUGAAGAAAAGAAGCCGCUGCUGUGUUUACCCUUCAGUACACUGAGAAUCAGAGUGUGAAUCCUUCCUGCUUUAUAGAAAACAUCACAUCUCUAGUGAUUCUUGAGUAUGAAAAUCAUGAAGCUUGGCUCAGUGAGACAGUCUUGCAUCAUGUUUCAUUAAAAUCGGUCUGGUAGUGUUUGUGUAAUCUUGGUAACAGAGAAUUCAAGAAAUAAAAAAACAUGCUGUUCACUACUGGAAAAUGUACUAUUUUGUAUGUUUCGCAUUUCUUUUUAGUGAAACUGAACAAUAUCUAGCAGAAUAAAAUGUGGUUACAUAUUAAA